This 406-nucleotide ribosomal RNA is filed under the name uncultured bacterium. Its description in RNAcentral is "partial 16S ribosomal RNA". It matches the Rfam family "Bacterial small subunit ribosomal RNA", at positions 30 to 526 of the family's 1533-position model. The record is from RNAcentral.
AUUGAACGCUGGCGGCAGGCCUAACACAUGCAAGUCGACCGAGCGUCGGACGCGUGAGUAAUGUAUCGGGAUCUGUCCGAUAGCGGGGGAUAACUACUGUAUACGGUAGCUAAUUCCGCCCACUAUUUCAUGAACCCACAUGGGAUUAGCUAGUAGUUGUGGUAUUGGCUCACCUUGUCGACGAUCCCUAGCUGGUCUGAGAGGAUGAUCAGCCACACUGGGACUGAGACACGGACCAGACUCCUACGGGAGGCAGCAGUGGGGAAUAUUGAACAAUGGGCGCAAGCCUGAUGCAGCCAUGCCGCGUGUAUGAAGAAGGCCAUAGGGUUGUAAAGUACUUUCAGUCGGGAGGCGUUACCGACAGAAGAAGCACCGGCUAACUCCGUGCCAGCAGCCGCGGUAAUAC